RNAcentral lists this ribosomal RNA (1142 nucleotides) under Cadophora sp. REF035. RNAcentral's name for it is "eukaryotic LSU rRNA". It matches the Rfam family "Eukaryotic large subunit ribosomal RNA", at positions 72 to 1124 of the family's 3401-position model. Lineage: Eukaryota; Fungi; Ascomycota; Leotiomycetes; Helotiales; Ploettnerulaceae. The record is from RNAcentral.
GGAUUACCUCAGUACGGCGAGUGAAGCGGUAACAGCUCAAAUUUGAAAGCUAGCUCUUUUAGGGUUCGCAUUGUAAUUUGUAGAAGAUGCUUCGGGUGUGGCCCCGGUCUAAGUUCCUUGGAACAGGACGUCAUAGAGGGUGAGAAUCCCGUAUGUGACUGGGUGCUUUCGCUCAUGUGAAGCUCUUUCGACGAGUCGAGUUGUUUGGGAAUGCAGCUCAAAAUGGGUGGUAAAUUUCAUCUAAAGCUAAAUAUUGGCCAGAGACCGAUAGCGCACAAGUAGAGUGAUCGAAAGAUGAAAAGCACUUUGGAAAGAGAGUUAAACAGUACGUGAAAUUGUUGAAAGGGAAGCGCUUGCAACCAGACUUGCGCGCUGAUGAUCAUCCGGGCUUCUGCCCGGUGCACUCGUCUGCGCUCAGGCCAGCAUCGGUUUCGGUGGUGGGAUAAAGGCCUUGGGAAUGUGGCUCCUCUCGGGGAGUGUUAUAGCCCUCGGUGCAAUGCCGCCUACCGGGACCGAGGACCGCGCUUCGGCUAGGAUGCUGGCGUAAUGGUUGUAAGCGACCCGUCUUGAAACACGGACCAAGGAGUCUAACAUCUAUGCGAGUGUUUGGGUGUCAAACCCAUACGCGUAAUGAAAGUGAACGGAGGUGAGAACCCUUAAGGGUGCAUCAUCGACCGAUCCUGAUGUCUUCGGAUGGAUUUGAGUAAGAGCAUAGCUGUUGGGACCCGAAAGAUGGUGAACUAUGCGUGAAUAGGGUGAAGCCAGAGGAAACUCUGGUGGAGGCUCGCAGCGGUUCUGACGUGCAAAUCGAUCGUCAAAUUUGCGUAUAGGGGCGAAAGACUAAUCGAACCAUUGGGAAGUUACUAGGUGGUUGAGAGGCUGCCGAGAGGCACGCCUAGUCCUGCCUCGACAGGGCAACACUAUCAAAUUGUUCGGGGACGUCCUGCCAAAUCUCAAGCUACCGCAGCUGGCCCGAAAGGGCGGCGCGCACCGGGUUAACGACCCCGGGGAUGGUAAGAACGCUUGGGUAGGGAUUAUCCGCAGCCAACCUCUAAGGGGCGUCAGCCCUACGAGAUAGGUCCACAGACUUAACGAUAGUGGGCUCCCUGGGAGCUUAAGAUAAAGUCGAACCCCCGGAGACC